This is a long non-coding RNA of Epinephelus fuscoguttatus (brown-marbled grouper), 3616 nucleotides long. RefSeq lists it as uncharacterized. The record is from RefSeq and is a predicted model, not a curated record. The transcript is spliced from 4 exons. Lineage: Eukaryota; Metazoa; Chordata; Actinopteri; Perciformes; Serranidae.
GGAAGUGGUGUGUGAAUGUGUGUCGCUUAAUCGGCUGAGUCACAACUUGUAAACAAAGUCCGUGAAAAGUAUGUAGUUGGUGUUUUUAGGGCUGCCUAUCCGACAGUUUGUGCCUGGACAUUCUACAUAUCUUCUGUGAGGAGCUGAGAACAUUUCUACCCGAAGUGUGUUGAACAGUUUUUCAUGGCAUCUUUCCGAAGAGGAGAUUUGAGGAAGAAGCAGAAGGAGGAGGAGAAGGACGAGAGGCCCUGAGCUACUGACUACACCGUGAGCCACCCAGAUGAAACUCAAGAGUAUCCUGAUUGCUGACUGCUGGUUCGAGAGACUGCUUCAUACCGCCAAACUGACUUCACUGUUUGCUUAAGGCGAUAAUGGUCAGAAAUUCAGCGGGAGCGGGCAGGAGUGGGAUGAAGAAAACAGUCCCGGGCAGGGCUCUAACACAGAGCACAGACGGAGCGGGAGAGGCCUCAGUAAGCCAGCGGUAAUUUUGAAGUCAGGAAAACGAACAGGAAGACCGCCAAUCAACAAACUCUCAUUGUUAAAUAUUGGAGAGUGUGGGCCCCAAACAGAAGAGCAACCAACUAAUUUCUCCACCCUCCUCCAUACGGAUCUUUUACCAGUCCGUGGUAGCCAGCAUCCUCUUUUACACAGUGGUGUGCUGGGGGGGUGGGGGGGGGGGCUGGAUCCAGGCUGGACAAACUGAUCAGGCGGGCCGGCUCUGUGGUUGGCAUGAAGCUGGAUUCUCUGGUGAUGAUGGCAGAGAAGAGAACACUGGACAAACUGCUGGACAUGAUGGACAAUGCCAGUCACCCUCUGCACACCAUCAUCAGCAACCAGACUGUUCCUUCCCAAGUGCAGGACUAACAGACUGAAAAACUCCUUUGUCCCUCAGGCCAUCAGACUGUACAACUCCUCACUCGAGGGGAGGAGGAGUAGCAAGAAGACAGAGGACAGGAAGGAGCAGUAACUAGAAGCCAGUAGCCACUACAGUAAGGAAUAUAAUAAGGAAUUACUUAUUUAUUCUAUGUCUAUAUCAUAUCUGUAUCAUAUAUAUAUCAUCUAAAUCAUCAAUGUGUCUCUUAGACCCCAUCCCAACUAGGCUACUUAAGGAGGUCUGACCUUUAGUUAACGCUCAUAUAUUAGAUAUGAUCAAUAUCUCCUUAUUAACAGGCUAUGUACCACAGUCUUUUAAGGUAGCUGUAAUUAAACCUCUCCUAAAAAAGCCCACCCUGGAUCCAGAGGUGUUAGCCAACUAUAGACCAAUAUCUAAUCUUCCCUUUCUUUCAAAGAUCCUUGAGAAAGUAGUCACAGACCAGCUGUGUGAUUUUCUCCAUGACAAUAAUUUAUUUGAGGAAUUUCAGUCAGGAUUUAGAGUGCACCAGAGCACUAAGACAGCACUAGUUAAAAUUACAAAUGACCUUCUGAUUGCUUCAGACAAAGGACUCUUCUCUGUACUUGUUUUAUUAGAUCUUAGUGUAGCAUUUGACACAAUUGAUCAUCAAAUUCUGCUACAGAGACUGGAACACUUAAUUGGCCUAAAAGGUUCUGCACAAAGCUUGUUUAAAUCUUAUUUAUCUGAUCGUUUUCAGUUUGUUCAUGUUCAUAAUGAGUCAUCCUUACAUACUAAAGUUUGUUUUGGAGUUCCGCAAGGUUCUGUGCUCGGACCAAUCCUAUUUAUUCUAUAAAUGCUUCCUUUAGGUAACAUCAUUAGAAAUCGCUCUGUAAAUUUCCAUUGUUAUGCGGAUGAUACACAGUUGUAUUUAUCUAUGAAGCCAGAAGAAACUAAUCAAUUAACUAAACUUCAUAAUUGCCUUAAAGACAUAAAAACCUGGAUGAGCACCAAUUUCUUGAUGUUAAAUUCAGACAAAACUGAAGUUAUUGUUCUUGGCCCCAAACAACUCAGAGACUCUUUAUCUGAUGACAUAGUUUCUCUAAAUGUCAUUGCUCUGGCCUCUAGCACUACCGUGAGAAACAAACCUCACAGAUUUGUUACCUCUAGGCUGGAUUACUGUAACUCUCUAUUAUCAGGCAGCUCUAGUAAGUCCUUAAAAACUCUCCAGCUAAUUCAGAAUGCAGCAGCACGUGUACUAACAGGAACUAAGAAACAAGAUCAUAUUUCUCCUGUUUUAGCUUCUCUGCACUGGCUCCCUGUAAAACCCAGAAUUGAAUUUAAUAUCCUACUGUUACUGUAACUUAUAAAGCUCUAAAUGGUCAAGCUCCAUCAUAUCUUAGAGAGCUCAUAGUGCCAUAUUAUCCCACCAGAACUCUGCGCUCGGAGAAAGCAGGGUUACUCGUGGUCCCUUAAGUCUCCAAAAGUAGGUCAGGAGCCAGAGCCUUCAGCAAUCAGGCUCCUCUCCUGUGGAAUCAUCUUCCUGUUGCGGUCCGGGAGGCAGACACCGUCUCCACAUUUAAGACUAGACUCAAGACUUUCCUCUUUGAUAAAGCUCAUAGUUAGGGCUGGCUCAGGCUUGCCUUGUACCAGCCCCUAGUUAGGCUGACUUAGGCCUAGUCUGCUGGAGGAGCCCCUAUAAUACACCGGGCACCUUCUCUCCUUCUCUCUCUCUCUCUCUCUUUCUCUCUCUCUCUCGUGUCCUAUUACUGCAUCUUGCUAACUCGGCCAUUCUGGAUGUCACUAACCCUGACCCUUCUUCUCCGGAGCCUUUGUGCUCCACUGUCUCUCAGGUUAACUCGUAUUGCAGCGGUGCCUGGAUAGUGUGACGUGUGUCGUUGUGCUGCUGCCGUGGUCCUGCCAGAUGCCUCCUGCUGCUGCUGUUAUCAUUAGUCAUACUUCUACUGUUAUUAUACACAUAUGAUUAUUGUCACAUAUGUAUACUAUCAGAUAUUAAUAUAUACUUUCAACAUAUUGUACCACAGUAACCAGAACUAUAAUUAUAAUAUUAUUACUUUCAUUAAUGUUGUUGUAAGCUACUGUCAUUACCGUCUGUCCUGCAUCUCGCUCUCUCUCUGUCUCUCUCUCUCUGUCUCUCUCUCUCUGUCUCAUUGUGUCAUACGGAUUACUGUUAAUUUAUUAUGUUGAUCUGUUCUGUACGACAUCUAUUGCACGUCUGUCCGUCCUGGAAGAGGGAUCCCUCCUCAGUUGCUCUUCCUGAGGUUUCUACCAUUUUUUUUCCCCCGUUAAAGGGUUUUUUUGGGGAGUUUUUCCUUAUCCACUGUGAGGGUCCUAAGGACAGAGGGAUGUCGUAUGCUGUAAAGCCCUGUGAGGAAAGCUGUGAUUUGUGAUAUUGGGCUUUAUAAAUAAAAUUGAAAUUGAAAUUGAUAUUUAUGUUUUGCAUAUUGUUUUUACUUUUUACGUUUUGAUACCCUGUGUGCUCUUUACCCUGUGUGCUGUUAUCCAAUGCUGCUGGAAUCUUAAUUUCCCUGAGGGAGUCUUCCCAAGGGAUUAAUAAAGUUCUAUCUGAUCUAAUGUAAUCUAAUGUAAUCUAAUCUAAUCUAAUCUAAUCUAAUCUGCAAGCAGCUGUGACCAGGCCCUUGCUCUCCCGCACUAUUGCGGCAUGCAUCACUGAAGCGGUUAUGUGAAAACUCAGAGUAACUUAACCCUGACAUGGUGUGAUGUUUCAUCUUCGUACUCCAAGAAAAUCCCUAUGGGGAGGGUUUU